AUACGGAGGGGGCUAGCGUUGUUCGGAAUUACUGGGCGUAAAGCGCACGUAGGUGGAUUAAAAAGUUAGAGGUGAAAUCCCAGGGCUUAACCCUGGAACUGCCUUUAAAACUAGUAGUCUAGAGUUCGAGAGAGGUGAGUGGAAUUCCAAGUGUAGAGGUGAAAUUCGUAGAUAUUUGGAGGAACACCAGUGGCGAAGGCGGUUCACUGGCUCGAUACUGACGCUGAGGUGCGAAAGCGUGGGGAGCAAACAGGAUUAGAAACCCGAGUAGUCC
RNAcentral lists this ribosomal RNA (274 nucleotides) under uncultured bacterium. RNAcentral's name for it is "partial 16S ribosomal RNA". It matches the Rfam family "Bacterial small subunit ribosomal RNA", at positions 523 to 796 of the family's 1533-position model. The record is from RNAcentral.